AACGCGAAAGCUUCCUUCGGGAAGCGAGUAGAGUGGCGCACGGGUGAGUAACACGUGGAUAAUCUGCCCGACGAUCUGGGAUAACAUUCCGAAAGGAGUGCUAAUACCGGAUAAGCCCACAGGCUCUUCGGAGUUUGCGGGAAAAGGUGGGGACCUUCGGGCCUACCGUCGUCGGAUGAGUCCGCGUCCCAUUAGCUAGUUGGCGGGGUAAUGGCCCACCAAGGCGACGAUGGGUAGCUGGUCUGAGAGGAUGAUCAGCCACACUGGAACUGAGACACGGUCCAGACUCCUACGGGAGGCAGCAGUGGGGAAUUUUGCGCAAUGGGGGAAACCCUGACGCAGCAACGCCGCGUGAGUGAUGAAGGCUUUCGGGUCGUAAAGCUCUGUCAGAGGGGAAGAAACUCUUGUGGUCGAACAGGCCACAGGAUUGACGGUACCCUCAAAGGAAGCACCGGCUAACUCCGUGCCAGCAGCCGCGGUAAUACGGAGGGUGCGAGCGUUGUUCGGAAUUAUUGGGCGUAAAGCGCGUGCAGGCGGCCUGUUAAGUCUGAUGUGAAAGCCCGGGGCUC
This 569-nucleotide ribosomal RNA is filed under the name uncultured bacterium. RNAcentral describes it as "bacterial SSU rRNA". It matches the Rfam family "Bacterial small subunit ribosomal RNA", at positions 65 to 610 of the family's 1533-position model. The record is from RNAcentral.